UACGGAGGGUGCAAGCAUUAAUCGGAUUUAUUGGGCGUAAAGGGCGCGUAGGCGGGGAGAUAAGUCAGAUGUGAAAUCCCGGGGCUCAACCCCGGAACAGCAUUUGAAACUGUUUUUCUAAGAGGGUAGGCGGAGGAAAUGGAAUUCCACAAGUAGCGGUGAAAUGCGUAGAGAUGUGGAAGAACACCAGUGGCGAAGGCGGUUUCCUAGCUUAUACCUGACGCUAAAGCGCGAAAGCAAGGGGAGCAAACAGG
This 254-nucleotide ribosomal RNA is filed under the name uncultured bacterium. Its description in RNAcentral is "partial 16S ribosomal RNA". It matches the Rfam family "Bacterial small subunit ribosomal RNA", at positions 524 to 776 of the family's 1533-position model. The record is from RNAcentral.